AAUCUUAUGUUUUUUCUAUAAGACAGUUUCUGCCCAAUGAUUUUUUUAAUGGCCGCAGUACCUUGACUGUGCUAAGGUAGCAUAAUAAGUUGGCUUUUAAAUGAGGUCUAGAAUGAAAGAACGAUUGGAUAAAAGUUGUCUCUUUUUUGUUAAAAUGAAAUUAUUUAUUAGGUGAAAAGACCUUUAUUUUAAGAAAGACGAGAAGACCCUUAGAAUUUUAAUCUAUUUUUUUGUUGGGGUGACACAUAAACAUAAAAACUUUUUUUUUAACCAGAAGAUUUAUCAGUUAGAAAAAAUUACCUUAGGGAUAACAGCAUAAUUUUUUUUUAAGAUUAUGACCUCGAUGUUGGACUAGGAACCUAAUAAUUAGUAAUUAAGUUGGUAAGUUCUGUUCGAACUUUUUCUCCU
This 408-nucleotide ribosomal RNA is filed under the name Gulella subringens. Its description in RNAcentral is "partial 16S ribosomal RNA". The record is from RNAcentral. Lineage: Eukaryota; Metazoa; Mollusca; Gastropoda; Stylommatophora; Streptaxidae.